CCCUGACCCUUUAAGGGUCCUGAAGGAACGUUGAAGACGACGACGUUGAUAGGCCGGGUGUGUAAGCGCAGCGAUGCGUUGAGCUAACCGGUACUAAUGAACCGUGAGGCUUAACCUUACAACGCCGAAG
Molecule: ribosomal RNA, 130 nt
Filed under: Escherichia coli
Lineage: Bacteria; Pseudomonadati; Pseudomonadota; Gammaproteobacteria; Enterobacterales; Enterobacteriaceae
Description: partial 23S ribosomal RNA
Rfam family: Bacterial large subunit ribosomal RNA
Source: RNAcentral